GGAUCGAUAGCUCAGCGGUAGAGGUUAGUGACUCCCUCAUGUCUCACAUUCUCAUGCACACAUGCUCACACAACAAACAGCGAGAGAUUGCAGAUCUCUAGGCCGCGUGUUCGAUCCACGCUCGGUCCU
Non-coding RNA from Thelonectria olida, 129 nucleotides. NCBI's taxonomy places the organism in Eukaryota, Fungi, Ascomycota, Sordariomycetes, Hypocreales, Nectriaceae. The record is from the annotation of a GenBank genome assembly.